UAGCAUAUCAAUAAGCGGAGGAAAAGAAACCAACAGGGAUUGCCUUAGUAACGGCGAGUGAAGCGGCAACAGCUCAAAUUUGAAAUCUGGCCCUUGGGUCCGAAUUGUAAUUUGUAGAGGAUGAUUUUGGUGCGGUAUCUUCCGAGUUCCUUGGAACAGGACGCCUUAGAGGGUGAGAGCCCCGUACGGUUGAAUGCCUAGCCUCUGUAAAUCUCCUUCGACGAGUCGAGUAGUUUGGGAAUGCUGCUCUAAAUGGGAGGUAAAUUUCUUCUAAAGCUAAAUAUUGGCCAGAGACCGAUAGCGCACAAGUAGAGUGAUCGAAAGAUGAAAAGCACUUUGAAAAGAGGGUUAAAUAGCACGUGAAAUUGUUGAAAGGGAAGGAUUUGUGACCAGACUUUUUCUGGGCGGAUCAUCCGGGGUUCUCUCCGGUGCACUUCGCCCAGUAAAGGCCAGCAUCGGUUUUCGGCGUGGGAUAAAAGCAGUAGGAAUGUGGCUCUCUACGGGGAGUGUUAUAGCCUAUUGUAUAAUACCGCGCUGGGGACCGAGGUUCGCGCUUCUGCAAGGAUGCUGGCGUAAUGGUUAUCAAUCACCCGUCUUGAAACACGGACCAAGGAGUCGAACAUUUGUGCGAGUGUUUGGGUGUUAAACCCUCACGCGUAAUGAAAGUGAACGGAGGUGAGAGCCCUUACGGGUGCAUCAUCGACCGAUCCUGAAGUUUUCGGAUGGAUUUGAGUAAGAGCAUAACUGUUCGGACCCGAAAGAUGGUGAACUAUGCGUGGAUAGGGUGAAGCCAGAGGAAACUCUGGUGGAGGCUCGCAGCGGUUCUGACGUGCAAAUCGAUCGUCAAAUCUGCGCAUGGGGGCGAAAGACUAAUCGAUCCAUGUGCGGAC
RNAcentral lists this ribosomal RNA (890 nucleotides) under Neopestalotiopsis clavispora. RNAcentral describes it as "partial large subunit ribosomal RNA". It matches the Rfam family "Eukaryotic large subunit ribosomal RNA", at positions 36 to 951 of the family's 3401-position model. Lineage: Eukaryota; Fungi; Ascomycota; Sordariomycetes; Amphisphaeriales; Sporocadaceae. The record is from RNAcentral.